This 214-nucleotide ribosomal RNA is filed under the name uncultured fungus. RNAcentral describes it as "partial small subunit ribosomal RNA". The stretch from base 38 to 214 matches the Rfam family "Eukaryotic small subunit ribosomal RNA", at positions 686 to 864 of the family's 1831-position model. Lineage: Eukaryota; Fungi. The record is from RNAcentral.
GGACUAAUAUGUUGGUCGUGCCUCGGUACGUACUGGCUUGUUGGUUUCUACCUUCUGACGAACCAUGAUGUCAUUAAUUUGGUGUCUUGGGGAAUCAGGACUGUUACUUUGAAAAAAUUAGAGUGUUUAAAGCGGGCACGCGCUUGAAUACAUUAGCAUGGAAUAACGAAAUAGGACGUUCGAUCUUAUUUUGUUGGUUUCUAGGAUUGACGUA